CGGACGGGUGAGUAACGCGUGGAAAACCUGCCGUAUACUGGGGGAUAACACUUAGAAAUAGGUGCUAAUACUGCAUAAGCGCACAGCUUCGCAUGAAGCGGUGUGAAAAACUCUGGUGGUAUACGAUGGUUCCGCGUCUGAUUAGCUAGUUGGUGGGGUAAUGGCCCACCAAGGCAACGAUCAGUAGCCGGCCUGAGAGGGUGAACGGCCACAUUGGGACUGAGACACGGCCCAAACUCCUACGGGAGGCAGCAG
Molecule: ribosomal RNA, 255 nt
Filed under: uncultured bacterium
Lineage: Bacteria
Description: partial 16S ribosomal RNA
Rfam family: Bacterial small subunit ribosomal RNA
Source: RNAcentral